GCUGUGAUGGCCGAGUCGUUAAGGCGAGUGAUUCGAAUGCUGAAAAAUGUUAGAAGUAUCACUUGGUGUUUCACCGCGUAGGUUCAAAUCCUACUCGCAGCG
Molecule: transfer RNA, 102 nt
Filed under: Pleurotus eryngii
Lineage: Eukaryota; Fungi; Basidiomycota; Agaricomycetes; Agaricales; Pleurotaceae
Rfam family: tRNA
About the family: Transfer RNA (tRNA) molecules are approximately 80 nucleotides in length. Their secondary structure includes four short double-helical elements and three loops (D, anti-codon, and T loops).
Source: Rfam by way of RNAcentral